GUGCGUGCGUGCGUGCGUGCGUGCAUGCGCGUGUGUGCGUACAUACCUGUAUGUAUGUGUGUGUACCUACGUACGAGUGUGUGUCUCUGUAUGUGUCAUUCAGUGAACAGGCAGCGAAGCAGCUUCAGAAGAACAGGAAGCACAUGCAGCAGAAGUUCAGUGUGAACGAGGACCGGAGAGCAGAGGCUAAGGAGGAGCUGUCCCAGAUGGCUACGCUGCACCCCAAUGCCAAGGUCAACUUGGAGGAGCUGGAGCAGAAGACCUUCAUGGUGGAGCAGAGGAUGCGAGAGCACUUGAAGAUAGACGUUCAGAUAGAUCCAUGUACAAUGAUGGAAUGGGCUUCUUUACUAGUGUUACUGAUGCAACACAUCAGUAUCUCCUCGGAAAGUGACUGAGAAUCCUAAGAAAGACGAGCGAGAUGAAAGCCCUGGCCAUUCUGAAGGAUAAAAGAACAACUAUUGAAGCAGAAUUACACCAGGAGCAAACCAACACAGAAAACGCCAGAUGGGGACUUCAUAAGGAAUUUGAGAAAGUGUGAAGUUUAAGGUAGACUUCACCGUCAAGAUAGAACUGCCAAAGGGGGAGGAGUUGCAGUAUACUGCAGAGAUAGCCUGCAAAGUAAUGUCAUACUUUCCAGGUCGCAGUUGCAAAUGAGAACUUGUUCUCAACUAGCCUACCUGGUUAAAUAAAGGUGAAAUAAAAAAAAAUAAAAAAGGGAGCAACUCAGUGAUUUUCCUACGGAACACAACAACACUUCAGUUUGUCUGUAAAAGGAACGGAGGCUAAAACUUGCCCAUCUAAAUACAGUCAAGGAAUUACACCAAGCUGUUACCGACGGGUGUAACCAUGCCUUGAGUAGGAUCGCAGACCUCAGUGCUAAGUCCAAAGAGUACAGAACAGGCCCUCACAUGGAGGAAACAGCAGCCGCUAUACCAGAUGUCAUUGAAGAACUACAGUUCGUCUUUGAUGCCGUAGAGUUUCAAAACCAAACAGCUAUGUUGAUCAUGAACACCUUGGAACGUGAUAUCACCAACUGUCAACAACGGAUGGAGCCAACAGUGGAAACUCAUUCUACUCUGUUCACAACCAGACAGGAGAAAAUGGAGGAAACCAACGUAACUAAACACUGGGUCAUUUGGUUGAAUACAAGGUGGUUUGGUUUAUGUUGUACUCACUGUAUUUGACUUUAGUAUCACUGUUAUUCCUAAUACAGAGCAUUUAGCUGGAAUUGUGGAUUUUAUCUCUUGAGACCAUGUACAAUUCUGAUUCCCCUGAAAUGUUGACUUGCC
Long non-coding RNA from Oncorhynchus tshawytscha (Chinook salmon), 1289 nucleotides. The record is from Ensembl. NCBI's taxonomy places the organism in Eukaryota, Metazoa, Chordata, Actinopteri, Salmoniformes, Salmonidae.